This 64-nucleotide transfer RNA is filed under the name Neoverruca intermedia. RNAcentral describes it as "tRNA-Phe". The record is from RNAcentral. Lineage: Eukaryota; Metazoa; Arthropoda; Thecostraca; Neoverrucidae.
AUUAAAAUAGCUUAAUAAGAGUUUUGUGUUGAAGCCGCAAUGGUGGCCUGAAGGCCUUUUAAUG